RNAcentral lists this long non-coding RNA (1194 nucleotides) under Olea europaea subsp. europaea. The record is from RNAcentral. Lineage: Eukaryota; Viridiplantae; Streptophyta; Magnoliopsida; Lamiales; Oleaceae.
UCCUAUUAGACAUAAAAUGAUAAAAGACUAAUUAAUUAACAGUAACAAAAAUUAAACAAUAAAAUAUGAUAUUAAAUGGGAUCCACUUGUACCAUUCACCUCCUCGAAUCUUUCGCCGCUUAUCUAACACCUUAUAGGGACAGUGAUUUAAUUGAUACAUAAAUGACAUAGAUAUUAUACCAAAUAUCUUGAUUCUAAAAAUCUUGAAAAACUGGAGCAACUAAUAGAAUUUUUUCAUUUCUACCCAUUUUAUCCCUAAGAAUUCAACCAAAAAUUCAAGUUAUUGCACUACAAAAUUUUGGAAUUUCCAAAUGUUUCGAGAAGUGUAUUUGAUCCUAUGACUUGCUCAACCAUGUGGCCUUCUACUACAACGGACCAUUUAAGUGUGCAAAAUAUUUCAUUUACAUCAUCAUUUCAUUGUCACCAACUACCAUAAUUUUAUGAUGGUCAUCCCUUGACAUUAAGAAGUGAUUUUCAAAAUAAGUUUGUUGAUCCAUAUUGAGUUUCUCUUUCUCAAACUUCUUCUAGAGAAUUUCGACAUCAGUUCUUCCUCAAAGAUUGAUCAAUUUGUGUCAGACUCAAUCUCAACAUCCGUACAACAAUAUGAACUGUUGUCCCUGUGGGGAUUGCUCGCCAAUCCCAUAACCAACGUCGGCCCCUCAAUUGCCAAAACAGUAUCCAUCAUUGAAUUUUCCAUUUGCAAACCUAUUCACAAUCAGGCUCGCGACGAAACCCAUCAUUGCACCAGCCUCGUACAGUCAUAACACACACAUCGUGACCACCACCUCAAGCCUCUUGGCCAUCGCCAUAAAGUUUACCCACCAUAACCAAUGUGGCCACCUUCCGUGCUAUGACUUCAAGAUGUCAGAAGAUUUGUAUUAGUUCAUGCCUAUGGUUUCCAUUAUCAAUCAUGGCACAACGACGGCUAACUUGUCCUCAUCGAUACAUUGUUAGAAGCAUAGACUAGGCAAUAAUACCAAAUGAUGCUGGUGGAAUCUAGAGGAUAACAAAUACGAGAUUAAAAAGGAAAAUGUGUGUACGAAUUAACCAUUUAGGUGAAUAACUUUCUAUUCACAUUCAAUCUAACCAUCCGACAACACAAUUAUAACACCAAAUUACUCCUAAGUAGACAUUUAAGCAAAACAAAUUCUAGAAAACUUACUUAUUUUGAUUAAACUCCUAAUCCUAAUAAAA